RNAcentral lists this ribosomal RNA (676 nucleotides) under Escherichia coli 6-319-05_S3_C2. RNAcentral's name for it is "bacterial LSU rRNA". It matches the Rfam family "Bacterial large subunit ribosomal RNA", at positions 1 to 722 of the family's 2925-position model. Lineage: Bacteria; Pseudomonadati; Pseudomonadota; Gammaproteobacteria; Enterobacterales; Enterobacteriaceae. The record is from RNAcentral.
UUAAGCGACUAAGCGUACACGGUGGAUGCCCUGGCAGUCAGAGGCGAUGAAGGACGUGCUAAUCUGCGAUAAGCGUCGGUGAGGUGAUAUGAACCGUUAUAACCGGCGAUUUCCGAAUGGGGAAACCCAGUGUGUUUCGACACACUAUCAUUAACUGAAUCCAUAGGUUAAUGAGGCGAACCGGGGGAACUGAAACAUCUAAGUACCCCGAGGAAAAGAAAUCAACCGAGAUUCCCCCAGUAGCGGCGAGCGAACGGGGAGGAGCCCAGAGCCUGAAUCAGUGUGUGUGUUAGUGGAAGCGUCUGGAAAGGCGCGCGAUACAGGGUGACAGCCCCGUACACAAAAAUGCACAUAUUGUGAGCUCGAUGAGUAGGGCGGGACACGUGGUAUCCUGUCUGAAUAUGGGGGGACCAUCCUCCAAGGCUAAAUACUCCUGACUGACCGAUAGUGAACCAGUACCGUGAGGGAAAGGCGAAAAGAACCCCGGCGAGGGGAGUGAAAAAGAACCUGAAACCGUGUACGUACAAGCAGUGGGAGCCUCUUAAUGGGGUGACUGCGUACCUUUUGUAUAAUGGGUCAGCGACUUAUAUUCUGUAGCAAGGUUAACCGAAUAGGGGAGCCGAAGGGAAACCGAGUCUUAACUGGGCGUUAAGUUGCAGGGUAUAGACCCGAAACC